This 359-nucleotide long non-coding RNA is filed under the name Homo sapiens (human). RNAcentral describes it as "GLIS2 antisense RNA 1 (GLIS2-AS1)". Lineage: Eukaryota; Metazoa; Chordata; Mammalia; Primates; Hominidae. The record is from RNAcentral.
GCGAGAGCUAGGUUCCUGCUCUCCUGAAAGCCUCGGAGGCCCAGAGCGGGGAGCAGCGGGCCUGCAACCAGGGAACCCUGAAAGGAAGCGGGUCCUCUGUAAGAUGGGGCUGCAUCCCUGCCCCGCUCCCAGCAGCAUGGGGUCAGAUGCAAAAACUGAGGCUCAGGGGAGUGAAGUGACCCAUCCAAGGUCCCACAGCUUGUCCGUGGCAGAGCUGGGUUUCAACCCCAGGGAGAAACCAAUGCAGUGCUGCACAUCCAAUCACUAUUGAGUGCUUCUCCUUCGUCCGUAACGUUCAGCACGGAGAACAGUGCCUGGCACAUAGUAGGUGCUUAAUAAAACGUGCUGAAUGAAUCGUC